Molecule: ribosomal RNA, 465 nt
Filed under: uncultured Klebsiella sp.
Lineage: Bacteria; Pseudomonadati; Pseudomonadota; Gammaproteobacteria; Enterobacterales; Enterobacteriaceae
Description: bacterial SSU rRNA
Rfam family: Bacterial small subunit ribosomal RNA
Source: RNAcentral
CCUACGGGGGGCAGCAGUGGGGAAUAUUGCACAAUGGGCGCAAGCCUGAUGCAGCCAUGCCGCGUGUGUGAAGAAGGCCUUCGGGUUGUAAAGCACUUUCAGCGGGGAGGAAGGCGGUGAGGUUAAUAACCUCAUCGAUUGACGUUACCCGCAGAAGAAGCACCGGCUAACUCCGUGCCAGCAGCCGCGGUAAUACGGAGGGUGCAAGCGUUAAUCGGAAUUACUGGGCGUAAAGCGCACGCAGGCGGUCUGUCAAGUCGGAUGUGAAAUCCCCGGGCUCAACCUAGGAACUGCAUUCGAAACUGGCAGGCUAGAGUCUUGUAGAGGGGGGUAGAAUUCCAGGUGUAGCGGUGAAAUGCGUAGAGAUCAGGAGGAAUACCGGUGGCGAAGGCGGCCCCCUGGACAAAGACUGACGCUCAGGUGCGAAAGCGUGGGGAGCAAACAGGAUUAGAUACCCGAGUAGUC